AUCCUUAAAUUUUUCUUCUUAUGAUUAAUAAUUAAUAUCAAGGAUAGAAUUGAUAUAAAUUGGCCAAAUAUUCAUUAAUUUUUCUUAGAAUGGACAUUUAUUUUAGAUAAACUGUACAAGUAAACCUGAACGGAGACAGUAUUACAACUUCCACUUCUUGUCUAUUAGUACUUACUACUACAUUUUUGGAGUCAUUCAUAUAAGCAUUGUCCUUUUCCUUCUUUUCUUUUGUUCUCUACAUGGCGGUUUUCAUUCAUCAAAAGCAAGAAAAAAAGGGACAAUUAUUCUUGAUGAAGAUAGAGGCAAAACUACGAUUUAGAGUUUUAGGAUAACAAAUGUUUUAAUACAAAUGAUGAAUAGUUAAUUAUAAAUUAUAAAGUUUAUAAAUUUAAUGUUUUAAUAUAAAUUAUUCAUCAAUAUAUUUAUUUCAUA
RNAcentral lists this long non-coding RNA (432 nucleotides) under Capsicum annuum. Its description in RNAcentral is "long non-coding RNA (CANN_LNC010950)". The record is from RNAcentral. Lineage: Eukaryota; Viridiplantae; Streptophyta; Magnoliopsida; Solanales; Solanaceae.